AGUAACCUGCCUUGGAGUGGGGAAUAACAGCUGGAAACAGCUGCUAAUACCGCAUAAUGCAGUUGGGUCGCAUGGCUCUGACUGCCAAAGAUUUAUCGCUCUGAGAUGGACUCGCGUCUGAUUAGCUAGUUGGCGGGGUAACGGCCCACCAAGGCGACGAUCAGUAGCCGGACUGAGAGGUUGGCCGGCCACAUUGGGACUGAGACACGGCCCAGACUCCUACGGGAGGCAGCAG
This 235-nucleotide ribosomal RNA is filed under the name uncultured bacterium. RNAcentral describes it as "partial 16S ribosomal RNA". It matches the Rfam family "Bacterial small subunit ribosomal RNA", at positions 120 to 354 of the family's 1533-position model. The record is from RNAcentral.